This 627-nucleotide long non-coding RNA is filed under the name Callithrix jacchus (white-tufted-ear marmoset). RNAcentral's name for it is "lncRNA (ENSCJAG00000050452.3)". Lineage: Eukaryota; Metazoa; Chordata; Mammalia; Primates; Cebidae. The record is from RNAcentral.
AUGUGUCCUGACAUCUACAGUGCCCCCCAUGCUGGAGCAGUUGCUGUGGAAGGCCCUGUCUACUGGCAAGGAAGAUGGUUAAUUCUUCCAAGCAAUGAAGGCCCCACCGAGUCCUGGUUUUGGUGUGGCCUGGCCUCCAUGGUGCGCCCCAUGCUGGUGGACAACUCAAUAUGGAGCAGUUGUCGUGACAGGUCCAUUGCUUGCUGGCAAGGAAGAUGGGCAGUUCUUCUGACCAACAGAGGCCGCGUUGAGUUCUUGAUGCGGCAUGGCCUGACAUCUGCAGUGCACCCCAUGAUGGCAGCUGGCUCAGGACGGGGCAGUUGCUGUGGGAGGCACAGCACCUGUUGGAAAGAAGAUGGUCAAUUCCUCCAAACAACAAAGGCCACGUGGAGUCCUGGUUUCAGUGAGGCCUGGCUUCCACAGUGGUCCUGGUGCUGGUGGGUGGCCCGGAUGCACGCUCACUUCAUCUGCGCCUCCCUGGUUGCAUUGGCUUGGAAGGAAGGCCCUUGUUCAAGAAGGAUGGUCUUCAUCUUGUGUAAUCUUUGGAGAUGCCAUGGGCCCCCUGGAUAUAUGGUCUGGGCUCCUUCAGAGCCUUUUGGAUUUCUCCUGAAUGGGCAGUUGCCUUGA